GUCCUUUUAGAGACAUUCGAUAAAGUUGGAACAAUACAGAGAAGAUUAGCAAAACCCGUGUUAAGUAUGCGAGGAACAAAUCAAAAAAACAAAAACAAAAAUUUU
This 105-nucleotide small nuclear RNA is filed under the name Amborella trichopoda. The record is from RNAcentral. Lineage: Eukaryota; Viridiplantae; Streptophyta; Magnoliopsida; Amborellales; Amborellaceae.